Oncorhynchus masou masou (cherry salmon) is the source of this 958-nucleotide long non-coding RNA. RefSeq lists it as uncharacterized. Lineage: Eukaryota; Metazoa; Chordata; Actinopteri; Salmoniformes; Salmonidae. The transcript has 2 exons. The record is from RefSeq and is a predicted model, not a curated record.
AUGAAGCUAGCUGGCUGCUUAUAUCGUUAGCUUUGGGCAAAAGGGUUAAGUAGCUGGAUAGCUAUUUAUUUUAAUAAACCUAAGUUCAGUUCCAAUUGGCGAACAACAAGUGGCUACCUAGCUAAUACUUACAAGGAUUCCUAAAUCAUUGUUAAGAAUAAUGAAAAUUACUGCAAUUUCUACUGGUCAUAGUUUUCUGGCUGGUUGUAUUGGUGCUAGCUAGGUACCAAGCUAAAGCUAGUUAUCCCAAACACCGCUUCCCAUUAACUUCAAUGGAAGUUGGCGUGGGAGGCGGUGAAAAAAGUUCAACUUUACCCAUCUUUAUGCAAAUCACCAGAGACGACCACUGGGUGAUGACCAAUCAUAUCGAGUGGUUCGUCCCAUGACGAAUUUGUCGCUAUGCGACCCAAGGCUAGAGACGUUCUUCAGCAAAGAUGGCUGACAAAAAUACUAGGACGGAAGCAAAUGGACUCCUGAAACAACCAGCAAACCAGGCUGUCAUCUUGUGAAACAGUGGAUGUAAAGAAUCUAGUAGCUAGCUAAAGCAUUGACUGCAAAUUGAAUGUAACAUUUGUUCAGCUUGCCUUGCUGAUAUUUGCCAUGCAAGGGAGAUAGCUAACUACGUUCUUGCCUAUUGUGCAGUGGAGGAUAAAAAAAAUACCUGUAUAUGCCUAUGGAUGUGUAGCUAGCUAUCUAGCCGAUCUGUGUAUGGACCCAAACGUUUGGUAUACAUAUUUGUUCAGAACCAAGCUAUCAUAGCCAGUUGUAUUAACUUCAAAACAGUCAAUGACAUUAAUGAAGCCUAAGGAUUCAGUAGAAUAUAACUUUGUGCCAAGGAUGCAAGUCGUAUAUACAUGUAGUUAUUACCAUGCAUGAGAUCCCCACAUUGUAGCCUGUAUAUUUAAUAUGUUCAAUGAUCAUGUACUCUACCUUGGCAAAUACAGGUGCAGUUCAGGUA